CUCUGUGACUCCUACGGGAGGCAGCAGUGGGGAAUAUUACACAAUGGGCGCAAGCCUGAUGCAGCAACGCCGUGUGAGUGAAGAAGGUUUUCGGAUCGUAAAACUCUGUCCUAAGGGAAGAAACAAAUGACGGUACCUUAGGAGGAAGCCCCGGCUAACUACGUGCCAGCAGCCGCGGUAAUACGUAGGGGGCAAGCGUUAUCCGGAAUCACUGGGCGUAAAGGGUGCGUAGGCGGCUUAGCAAGCCAGGGGUGAAAGGCAUUGGCUCAACCAAUGUAAGCCUUUGGAACUGUUAAGCUUGAGUGCAGGAGAGGUAAGUGGAAUUCCUAGUGUAGAGGUGAAAUUCGUAGAUAUUAGGAGGAACACCAGUGGCGAAGGCGACUUACUGGACUGUAACUGACGCUGAUGCACGAAAGCGUGGGUAGCGAACAGGAUUAGAUACCCUGGUAG
RNAcentral lists this ribosomal RNA (450 nucleotides) under uncultured bacterium. Its description in RNAcentral is "bacterial SSU rRNA". It matches the Rfam family "Bacterial small subunit ribosomal RNA", at positions 328 to 793 of the family's 1533-position model. The record is from RNAcentral.